GCGAAAACAGUAUGAAAGAACUAGGUGUGCGACAAGUAGGGCGGGACACGUGAAAUCCUGUCUGAAGAUGGGGGGACCAUCCUCCAAGGCUAAAUACUCGUGAUCGACCGAUAGUGAACCAGUACCGUGAGGGAAAGGCGAAAAGAACCCCGGGAGGGGAGUGAAAUAGAUCCUGAAACCGCAUGCAUACAAACAGUCGGAGCCUCGUAAGGGGUGACGGCGUACCUUUUGUAUAAUGGGUCAGCGACUUACGUUCAGUAGCAAGCUUAACCGUAUAGGGCAGGCGUAGCGAAAGCGAGUCCGAAUAGGGCGUUCAGUUGCUGGGCGUAGACCCGAAACCAGGUGAUCUAUCCAUGGCCAGGAUGAAGGUGCGGUAACACGUACUGGAGGUCCGAACCCACUAACGUUGAAAAGUUAGGGGAUGAGCUGUGGAUAGGGGUGAAAGGCUAAACAAACCUGGAAAUAGCUGGUUCUCUCCGAAAACUAUUUAGGUAGUGCCUCGUGUCUCACCUUCGGGGGUAGAGCACUGUCAUGGUUGGGGGGUCUAUUGCAGAUUACCCCGCCAUAGCAAACUCCGAAUACCGAAGAGUGCAAUCACGGGAGACAGACAUCGGGUGCUAACGUCCGGUGUCAAGAGGGAAACAACCCAGACCGCCAGCUAAGGUCCCCAAAUAUAGCUAAGUGGGAAACGAAGUGGGAAGGCUAAAACAGUCAGGAGGUUGGCUUAGAAGCAGCCACCCUUUAAAGAAAGCGUAAUAGCUCACUGAUCGAGUCGUCCUGCGCGGAAGAUGUAACGGGGCUAAGCUAUAUACCGAAGCUGCGGAUGCGUGCUUGCACGCAUGGUAGGAGAGCGUUCCGUAAGCCUGCGAAGGUGCCUUGUAAAGGGUGCUGGAGGUAUCGGAAGUGCGAAUGCUGACAUGAGUAGCGAUAAAGGGGGUGAAAGGCCCCCUCGCCGUAAGCCCAAGGUUUCCUACGCAACGUUCAUCGGCGUAGGGUGAGUCGGCCCCUAAGGCGAGGCAGAAAUGCGUAGCUGAUGGGAAGCAGGUCAAUAUUCCUGCACCAUUGUUAGAUGCGAUGGGGGGACGGAUCGCGGAAGGUUGUCCGGGUGUUGGAAGUCCCGGUCGCUGCAUUGGAGAAGGCGCUUAGGCAAAUCCGGGCGCGUAAUUCAAGGGUGUGGCGCGAGCUCCUUAGGGAGCGAAGCAAUUGGAAGUGGUUCCAAGAAAAGCCUCUAAGCUUCAGUCUAACGAUGACCGUACCGCAAACCGACACAGGUGGGCGAGAUGAGUAUUCUAAGGCGCUUGAGAGAACUCGGGAGAAGGAACUCGGCAAAUUGGUACCGUAACUUCGGGAUAAGGUACGCCCUUGUAGCUUGACCAGCCUGCGCUGGAAGGGUGAAGGGGUUGCAAUAAACUGGUGGCUGCGACUGUUUAAUAAAAACACAGCACUCUGCAAACACGAAAGUGGACGUAUAGGGUGUGACGCCUGCCCGGUGCCGGAAGAUUAAAUGAUGGGGUGCAAGCUCUUGAUUGAAGUCCCGGUAAACGGCGGCCGUAACUAUAACGGUCCUAAGGUAGCGAAAUUCCUUGUCGGGUAAGUUCCGACCUGCACGAAUGGCGUAACGAUGGCCACACUGUCUCCUCCCGAGACUCAGCGAAGUUGAAGUGUUUGUGAUGAUGCAAUCUACCCGCGGCUAGACGGAAAGACCCCAUGAACCUUUACUGUAGCUUUGCAUUGGACUUUGAACCGAUCUGUGUAGGAUAGGUGGGAGGCUAUGAAACCGGAACGCUAGUUUCGGUGGAGCCGUCCUUGAAAUACCACCCUGGUUUGUUUGAGGUUCUAACCUUGGCCCGUGAUCCGGGUCGGGGACAGUGCAUGGUAGGCAGUUUGACUGGGGCGGUCUCCUCCCAAAGCGUAACGGAGGAGUACGAAGGUACGCUAGGUACGGUCGGAAAUCGUGCUGAUAGUGCAAUGGCAUAAGCGUGCUUAACUGCGAGACCGACAAGUCGAGCAGGUGCGAAAGCAGGUCAUAGUGAUCCGGUGGUUCUGUAUGGAAGGGCCAUCGCUCAACGGAUAAAAGGUACUCUGGGGAUAACAGGCUGAUACCGCCCAAGAGUUCAUAUCGACGGCGGUGUUUGGCACCUCGAUGUCGGCUCAUCUCAUCCUGGGGCUGUAGCCGGUCCCAAGGGUAUGGCUGUUCGCCAUUUAAAGAGGUACGUGAGCUGGGUUUAAAACGUCGUGAGACAGUUUGGUCCCUAUCUGCCGUGGGCGUUGGAUAUUUGAAGGGGGCUGCUCCUAGUACGAGAGGACCGGAGUGGACGAACCUCUGGUGUACCGGUUGUCACGCCAGUGGCAUCGCCGGGUAGCUAUGUUCGGAAGAGAUAACCGCUGAAAGCAUCUAAGCGGGAAACUCGCCUUAAGAUGAGAUAUCCCUGGGGACUAGAUCCCCUUGAAGGGUCGUUCGAGACCAGGACGUUGAUAGGUCAGGUGUGUAAGCGCAGUAAUGCGUUCAGCUAACUGAUACUAAUUGCCCGUAAGGCUUGAUCCUAUAACA
Molecule: ribosomal RNA, 2551 nt
Filed under: Burkholderia cenocepacia
Lineage: Bacteria; Pseudomonadati; Pseudomonadota; Betaproteobacteria; Burkholderiales; Burkholderiaceae
Description: bacterial LSU rRNA
Rfam family: Bacterial large subunit ribosomal RNA
Source: RNAcentral